GGAUUAGAUACCCUGGUAGUCCACGCAGUAAACGGUGAACACUAGGUGUAGCGGGUAUUGACCCCUGCUGUGCCGGAGCUAACGCAUUAAGUGUUCCGCCUGGGAAGUACGGCCGCAAGGUUAAAACUCAAAGGAAUUGACGGGGGCCCGCACAAGCGGUGGAGCAUGUGGUUUAAUUCGACGCAACGCGAAGAACCUUACCUGGGUUUGACAUCCCGAGAAGUCUUUUGAAAAAUAGAUGUGCCCCUCGGGGAAUUCGGUGACAGGUGCUGCAUGGCUGUCGUCAGCUCGUGUUG
RNAcentral lists this ribosomal RNA (296 nucleotides) under uncultured bacterium. RNAcentral describes it as "partial 16S ribosomal RNA". It matches the Rfam family "Bacterial small subunit ribosomal RNA", at positions 775 to 1067 of the family's 1533-position model. The record is from RNAcentral.